Non-coding RNA from Vicugna pacos (alpaca), 378 nucleotides. The record is from RefSeq and is a predicted model, not a curated record. NCBI's taxonomy places the organism in Eukaryota, Metazoa, Chordata, Mammalia, Artiodactyla, Camelidae.
CGGGCCUGUCCCAGCAGUUCUGAGAGGAGCCAGGAGCUGAGGCUGUGGGAGCUCAAAAACCUCACCUGAGUUCUGAGAACUGUGCGACCCGGUGGGGGGACAGUCCCUGAGUGCUCCGUGUCCCUGGGAAGACAGGGAUAAAGUAUGGCGCUGAGCAGAUAGAUGCAGACUCCUGUUUAUCAGAUGAGUGAAUGAAGGGGACUUGGGUGCAUUUUCUGACUGCACUGGGUGGGAGAAGAGGAAAAUGUGAAUUACUUUCUUGUGAUCUGAUAGAGAAAGAGCCGCAGAGCUGUGGAGGGGUGCAGAGAUGCUGGCUACAGUGUGGUUUCUAAGACAACCUAUUCUCAAGUGAGAAAGCCGGUCAGACUUACAGGUGUC